UGACGUUGAAGAACUCCGGGGUUUCGAGGAAGGAGGUGCCGAAGAUGGGCGGAUCGUUGGAGAGCGGCUGGCUGAAGUCCCAGGCGGGGCGGGCCAUGACGAGGAAGUGGUCGUGGCCGCCGCGGCGGUGCCAGAUCGAGGGGCGGUCGAGGCGGGUGAGGAAGUGGAAGAGGUCGAGGCCGUGGAGGAAGCUGGAGUUCUGGUCGGGGCCGUAGAGGUAGCGGAGGGCGUCGAGGGCUGCGUAGUAGGGGAGGUAGACGGCGGCGGCGAGGGCGGG
This 277-nucleotide long non-coding RNA is filed under the name Salvia miltiorrhiza (redroot sage). RNAcentral's name for it is "long non-coding RNA (SMIL_LNC001462)". The record is from RNAcentral. Lineage: Eukaryota; Viridiplantae; Streptophyta; Magnoliopsida; Lamiales; Lamiaceae.